AUCGGAAUUACUGUGCGUAAAGCGCGCGUAGGUGGUUCGUUAAGUUGGAUGUGAAAUCCCCGGGCUCAACCUGGGAACUGCAUUCAAAACUGUCGAGCUAGAGUAUGGUAGAGGGUUGUGGAAUUUCCUGUGUAGCGGUUAAAUGCGUAGAUAUAGGAAGGAACACCAGUGGCGAAGGCGACCACCUGGACUGAUACUGACACUGAGGUGCGAAAGCGUGGGGAGC
This 226-nucleotide ribosomal RNA is filed under the name uncultured bacterium. Its description in RNAcentral is "partial 16S ribosomal RNA". It matches the Rfam family "Bacterial small subunit ribosomal RNA", at positions 544 to 769 of the family's 1533-position model. The record is from RNAcentral.